AAUAGAUACCCGGGUAGUCCACGCCGUAAACGAUGGAUGCUAGCUGUUAUGAGUAUCGACCCUUGUAGUAGCGAAGCUAACGCGUUAAGCAUCCCGCCUGUGGAGUACGAGCGCAAGCUUAAAACAUAAAGGAAUUGACGGGGACCCGCACAAGCGGUGGAGCGUGUUGUUUAAUUCGAUGAUAAGCGAAGAACCUUACCAAGGCUUGACAUCCCUGGAAUUUCUCCGAAAGGAGAGAGUGCCUUCGGGAAUCAGGUGACAGGUGAUGCAUGGCCGUCGUCAGCUCGUGUCGUGAGAUGCUUGGUUAAGUCCAUCAACGAGCGCAACCCUUGUAAAUAGUUGAAUUUUUCUAUUUAGACUGCCUCGGUAACGGGGAGGAAGGAGGGGAUGAUGUCAGGUCAGUAUUUCCCUUACGCCUUGGGCUACAAACACGCUACAAUGGCCGGUACAAAGGGCAGCAACCCGCGAGGGGGAGCAAAUCCCAUCAAAACCGGUCUCAGUUCGGAUAGCAGGCUGAAAUUCGCCUGCUUGAAGCCGG
This 538-nucleotide ribosomal RNA is filed under the name uncultured bacterium. RNAcentral's name for it is "bacterial SSU rRNA". It matches the Rfam family "Bacterial small subunit ribosomal RNA", at positions 777 to 1329 of the family's 1533-position model. The record is from RNAcentral.